AGCUAACAGCUGGAAGUAGAAACGUAGGCUAUGCCUUUUCCAACACAGCUUGUUAGGUACACCUAUUUAGAAUCCCUGUGCCAAAAUCGGGGACUUGUGUGCGUUCACAGAUUUCAGCCAACACAGCAAUUUUCAUUUGUGAUCAAAACUCUAAAAGGAGACAUCAUGACGUCCAUUCCAAGCCAAGCCAUCAUAUUGUUAAUCUUGCAAGGCAUGGAACUGUUUUCGGCAAAGGCACUGAAGCUCUUUCUACAGCUGCUGCCUCUUUCGGCUCUAACAGCGCUCGUGUUUUUCAGAUAUUUCCCGCCGCCAUGUCGCCAGAGGAAGCUGCUAACAACAUGGCUGCGACUAGCUAUGACCCUGUGCAUCUGUUCGAUAUUGACCAUGAUGAGCCGUCUGCUGCCCUGGUGCUAAACACCGACUAACAAGCAGGCACACGCCAGACAUUAAUGUACAGCACAAACAGCCAACCACAACGUCCAUAAUCUCAUGAAAGCUCUAAGGCAACAAGUACAUUUUAAGGAUAAUUGAGGAAAACAAGAAAAGACACCCUCACAAAACUGGUUUGAAGUUAGAAUAAAACAACAAACAAAAGCCUUAAAUAGUAUGUUCUUAAAAUCUUGUUAGCUUGGCCCAAUUACCCAUAAUAAUUGCUGUAGAUAACACAGCUGCAAUGGCUUAAAGGCAUUUACAAUAUCAAUUAUACUUAUUCGUACACUGGCUUCAGAUGUACUUAUAUAGCUAUGCAGAUUCAUUAACAAUCGCACACUUUAGCUGCCAAAAAAAAAGAGCUCCAAUCACUUUUCAACUAUUUUUAAAGCACUUUGCAGCCGCUUCACGCAUAAUCCACCAAAUGUAAGAAGGCAAGAGCCUCCGACGUGUACCUGAACCGGUAACUGAUGCCUCUCAAGAGAUGCUUUGUUCAGCUUUCGACGCGUCUGCCUGGCUGCGUUAACAGGCAGAGUAAAAGCCAAAAACUAACCACGGAUCAUUUACAUUUUUUUACUAUCACAGUUAAUGGCGAGCCAAACACCGCAGCAACCAACCACCCAACCGACCACCCAACCAACCACUCAACCACUCAACCAAGCAGCGCUGAGCAGCGUCUGGCUUGUCUAUAAAUUUGUAACUUGGCGCUUUUGUUUGCUUUGCCACAACAUCCAACUCAGCUGCCUGCCCCUGCCGAGCGCUGGCUUUUUGGAGUUAAGUGUAAAUUUAUUUUGCGGCCAGGUGGUCAGCUUGUGGACAGGAGGCGCGAGCGCCAAGGGAUGCGUUGCCUAAUUGAUAUAAAUUAAAUACAAAACGAUUAUUUAAAUUA
RNA transcript from Drosophila virilis, 1318 nucleotides. RefSeq lists it as uncharacterized. The record is from RefSeq and is a predicted model, not a curated record. NCBI's taxonomy places the organism in Eukaryota, Metazoa, Arthropoda, Insecta, Diptera, Drosophilidae.